This 406-nucleotide ribosomal RNA is filed under the name uncultured bacterium. Its description in RNAcentral is "bacterial SSU rRNA". It matches the Rfam family "Bacterial small subunit ribosomal RNA", at positions 29 to 481 of the family's 1533-position model. The record is from RNAcentral.
AACGAACGCUGGCGGCAGGCCUAACACAUGCAAGUCGAACGCAUCGCAAGAUGAGUGGCAGACGGGUGAGUAACGCGUGGGAACCUUCCCAGUGGUGCGGAAUAGCUCAGGGAAACUUGAGGUAAUACCGCAUGAGCCCGCAAGGGGAAAGAUUUAUCGCCAUUGGAUGGGCCCGCGUCGGAUUAGCUAGUUGGUGAGGUAACGGCUCACCAAGGCGACGAUCCGUAGCUGGUUUGAGAGAAUGACCAGCCACACUGGGACUGAGACACGGCCCAGACUCCUACGGGAGGCAGCAGUGGGGAAUAUUGGACAAUGGGCGGCAAGCCUGAUCCAGCCAUGCCGCGUGAGUGACGAAGGCCUUAGGGUUGUAAAGCUCUUUUGGCGGGGACGAUAAUGACGGUACCCG